CAGAGGUCUGUAGGAGGACUUAGCACAGUUUAGAGUGCUCCAUAUGAAACCAGCAAAGACAGCUAAGGGGACUGUGAUAACCAUGCGGUAAUUGAUCCCAAAGACUCUUCUCCAGGAUUUGACCAGGAAGGCCAGAAACCAGGCCUCAGAUGGUAUGAAAUCCCAGCCUGCACAUUGCCGCCAAGAGCCUCUUGGCAACUGGAGAAUGACAAGGUCAAGGACAUCAAAGCCAGAGAAGUCCCCACCUCUACUGGAAAUGGACUGCCAGGGUCUGAGCUCAGAGACUCCAGAGACCCAGAGCCAGGGCAGAGAAAGGACUUCAGUGUGGAAGACUCUGCCCUCCUGUGAGUC
Long non-coding RNA from Mauremys reevesii (Reeves's turtle), 351 nucleotides. RefSeq lists it as uncharacterized. The transcript is spliced from 3 exons. The record is from RefSeq and is a predicted model, not a curated record. Lineage: Eukaryota; Metazoa; Chordata; Testudines; Geoemydidae.